CCCUAUGGGGUGCAGCAGGCUACGUAGGGGACCACUUCGGGUGGAGAAGCGCGUUUUGGGUCUUCGGCUUCGCUGGCAUCGCAGUCGCUGGGAUCAUUCAACGGCGCCUACGUGAGGCUUCGCCAGUUAGCCAAUCUGGCUCAAGCCGUCCUUCCGCUGCCUUGGUCGUGCGCACAAUUGCCGGCAGACCGACAGCUAUUCUGUUGGCGUUCGGGUUGGCGGGCGCCGUAUUUGUGAACAUCGGCUACCUGACGUGGAUGCCGACAUAUCUGCAUGAACGCUUCCAUCUCUCGUUGGCAAACGCGGGCUUUUCCAGCAUGUUCUGGCACUACAUGCCGGCCUUCUUCGGCGUGCUGGCGGGAGAGC
This 366-nucleotide ribosomal RNA is filed under the name uncultured prokaryote. RNAcentral's name for it is "partial 16S ribosomal RNA". The record is from RNAcentral.